This is a long non-coding RNA of Carassius gibelio (silver crucian carp), 3659 nucleotides long. RefSeq lists it as uncharacterized. The transcript is spliced from 3 exons. Lineage: Eukaryota; Metazoa; Chordata; Actinopteri; Cypriniformes; Cyprinidae. The record is from RefSeq and is a predicted model, not a curated record.
AAUUAGGUCACCCCUACGCAAUGCGAUGACCUUUUGGUUACAUCACUCUUUGGAAAAUCUGCAGUGAUGCAUUCAGUAAUUCAGACUGGCGAAGUGGAAUAGACUUACAUAACGAAAACACGGUGCAUUGCCAUGUGGUUCGAGAUGAAGAAGCAUAAUGCUGGGUGAAUGCAUUCACUCUGUCCUUUAUUUGGAGGCAGGAUAAUGGAGAACAAGCAUGAAAACAUGUUGCAUCUUUUUGGAAAUAUGAUUUGAUUUUAUAAAAAAACGAAAAAUUUAGCUCAUGCUUAUUUCCCCAGAUUUUUGUGGUUAAGUGAGAAAUUAUAUCUGACAAGAUCAUAGUGCUUCAAUACCAUAAUGUUGUGGUGGUUGGCCUAGUAGGUGUCUAUGUGUGCACGCAAGCCAGAGAGUGCAUGAUGCAUUCUGACAGCUGUGCAUGGUAAAGAGCGCGAGCAAGUCAAUCCACCAAUCUGAUCGUGAGAGGUCAGGUUGUAUUAAAGGGCGUAGCUCCAGAGAAAACUUCCUCUUUAAGCUGCUUCUUCAUUCACGGAGCGCUCCUGCUGUUCGCAGUCUGGCUGGCAGUCAGUCCUCUGCAUUUAAAGACCAAUUUUGGCUGCUAGAAAUGCCAUAUUCUCUUCAUAGCUAACCUUUGAAGGUCCUGCUGGUUUUUCCAUUCCAGCUGUUUUUGGACUUUGCCUUGGAGCAACUUUGACAGCGUGGUCUUUCCUUUUCCCGAACAAGCGUGCAAUUGCAGCAAGGUUCACUCUUUGGUAUUACACGACCCUUGGGAGGUUCGUUUCAGCCUCGUCGUGCACAAAGACCGCAGUGAUGAUCAUCAGGCUCGGCAGACUGACUCCUGGAUACUUCCGUCUCCUGCAGAGGCAGGUAGCAGGUGAAGUUCAGGCCCCAACGCACGACCGCUCCGUCAACCAGAUCGCCAUGAUGCUGGCCAUCAUGGGCCUCAGCCUGUCGUAUUACAGUGCCAAACAAAUGACCGAGAAGGUUCGCCACGAACCCGCCCCGUGAAGAUUGACCUAACUGAAGCCAAACUGCAGAUGUUCAGAUGUCGAAGAUUCAGACUCUACCUUUCUAUAACCUCUAGGGAUCACACAACAUGGGUUCUCUCGCUUUAGUUUAGCUCUCAAUGGAUCUGGAAGGGGUUGUGGCCUGAGUUUUGAUAGUUGACUUGAUACAUGCAUCAGAGUCGGUCCUUUCAAAACCUGAGCUCCACAUGCAUCUGGAGCUCCACUCUGAGCCAUAAUGAGUUUUAAAGGGAAGGAUCUCUGUUUGAGAUGUACCAAGCAACUAUUGAAAGCAGGUCCAAUGCACAAGAGUAAAAUGCACAGAUUUCCCCCCGAAUGAUGCUGUGGAAGAACAACGGCGCUGCUCUACAAUACUACACUUGGUGUCAGACACUUUCUUUUCAUUCUACCUUAAGAAAAUAUCUUCUAAUUGGUCUUCAAACACUUUAGAUGUUAAUGUUGACUUUGUGUGCAAUCGCAUUAGUUUGAAGCAGUUUUGUUUUUAGUGCAACGAAUCUGUAAUGUUAUUUCUAAUGCUUUUUUUUUAUGAUAAUGUGAUUAAAAUGAAUGUACUGUAUGUUUUGUUUUUAAGACGCCACGAUCAAAUAAAGCUGUGAAUAUUUUGAACACGAUCAAGUCGUGACUCAAGAAGAUUUAGAAGAACGUUAUGAAAUUUGGCCAACUCAUUCCUGAGUCGAGUUUUACACGAAACCAUAUGAAAGAUUUUCCUGUCGGCAGAAGCGUGCUGCUGAACAGGAAGUGGGCACAGCCUCAGGCAACAGCUUCCUCUAUCUGCACGCAAUAUUUGUCUACCAGCGUGCUGCAGCUGGCUUUAUGUCUGAACCACUUACCAAAUUCAAUAGACGUUAAUAGAACAUUUGCACAUCAAGUAACUGGAGGUGUGUCUUCUGUGUGGAUCCCCUGAUAUGUGAUGCAAUUAAGAAACAAAAUUUACUCCUACAAGAACACAGAUGCUUCAAGCUCUCAAGCUUAUUUUUUUUUUUUUAGAUGUCAUUGUGCUCUAAAUUGGGUUUGAGUGCAACUUUAUUGCAUUCUCAGCAUUUCCCAAAGUGUGCUAUGGGGGUGUUGACAUUUUAUUUUGGGGGAAUUUUUUUUUUUUUGUUCUUGUUACAAUAACCAUCACACACAAAAAAAAAAUCAAUUUCUUGUUAUGCUCUUAUUACCAAACUUUGGAUUCAAUAUUUUUUCUUUAUUGAUUUUGUUCCUUUUCAAUUAGCACUUUUUUUUUCCGUGGAGCUCAUGCACCUGAAAAUUUUAAACAUUUUACACAUGAUUUCUUUUAACUCAAAAUGAGGUGCAUAAGCUCAGAUAAAUAAAGGCUUAUGAUCUCCUUUUGACUGGGUUAUCAGCACAGCACAGGGGUUGAUGUGGUGCUUUAAUGACGGUUGUAUAAGAAAAAAAAUCUUUCACCAUAUGAGUGUUGAGUUUCGUUACUACCACAACAAUGCAAAAAUGGGACGGUGUACUUCGAAUGUGUUAGAAUGUGUUGGUGUGCUUGCAAAAAGUAUGUUGCGUGCCUAUCAUUCCACUAAUAUCUGCAUGCUAUCAUUGUGAGCUAUCACUUUCAUUAGACAGACUUGUGUAGUCUGAUAAAUGAAGUGAGAUUACGUACAACUUGACGUUCUGUGAAUCAAAACCUUAUCAUAGUCUUCCUUAAACUCAGAAUUGUUUCAGAAACCCAAAUCUUGAGUCUGCUGAACGUGUGAAGGACAUGAGGAAGUUGAAAAUGUCAUGCAUUUUGUCUGCUUGCUUGCACGCUGGUUACUGCUGAUUAGUUCUGUUGGUUGCCUUUCUGAAAGUCAAAGGCUGAGUGUACGGUCCUUAAAGAUGAAGCAUGCAAUUGUUUUAUGUUUUAUUUCAGCUAAAAGGUAUAUUUUUCUCAAAAAUGUUGGUACUUUCAAAAUAUUGCAAAAAAUAUUAAAGUCUGACACUACAACUGUGGCUCAGCCAACCUGUUUGAAAACCGUUACAUUACCGUUUGGUGGAGUUUAUACACUUCAACUUGCCUGCUUUAUUUUGGUUAAAACCCAUGGGUGAAAUGCAUUUUAGCUGCCACCAAACAAGUCUGUAUUGUUUUUGAUUCCUUGCAGUCUGUAUGUGUUCAUAAGCGUUCGCAUGGAUGCUCGGGGCAGAUGUGAUGUCCUGUGACAGGCCGAGGCCGCAUUGCGUGACACAAGUUAUUCCUCCAAUCACCUUUAGCUGCUCCCUUUCCCGCUCUGCUGUCUGAUCACUGGGCAAAUUUGCCUGAAAAAUACUGCUGGGACAGUUUUAACAGGCUAGUUUAGGACAUGAACUGCAACACACUCGUCCCAUUGGCUGUACGGUGAUGCAUCAUGUGUUACAGAAACAAAGCGAGGGGAUCACGUUGGCGAAAGAGUACUGCAGAUGGUUGUUUUAUAAAAACAGAGAAGGGAUGAAUUAAGAAUAUGUGGUCUUUUCUGUUCGGUUUGAUGGAGGUUCAUGGAUGUAAAAGUGGAAGGAGCACUUUCAAAUAAUGUGUGACUGAUAUUGUAUACAUGAAUGUUUUGUAUUAAUGAAUGAGACUUUAAAAUGUGAAGGACUGAAAUGCUUUUGUUGCUCAUGUAAUGUUUCAUUAAACUAACUUCAAUAAUUAUA